GUGUGUGCGUGUUUCUCUCUCUCUCUCUCUCUCUCUCUCUCUCUCUCUCUCUGUGUGUGUGUGUGUGAGAGAGAGAGAGAGAGAGAGAGAGAGAGAGAAAGAAAGAGAGAGAGAGAGAGUUUAG
RNAcentral lists this microRNA precursor (124 nucleotides) under Marmota monax (woodchuck). The record is from RNAcentral. Lineage: Eukaryota; Metazoa; Chordata; Mammalia; Rodentia; Sciuridae.